Molecule: ribosomal RNA, 490 nt
Filed under: uncultured bacterium
Lineage: Bacteria
Description: partial 16S ribosomal RNA
Rfam family: Bacterial small subunit ribosomal RNA
Source: RNAcentral
AUUGAACGCUGGCGGCAGGCCUAACACAUGCAAGUCGAACGGGAACGGGAAGCGGCUUGCUUCUUUGCUGGGGCGAGGGGGUCAGGUAAGUGAUGUCUGUGAGAAUGCGUGAUGGGGGGGGAUAACUGCAGGAAACGGUAGCACAUGCCGCAUAACGUCACGGGAGCAAAGAGGGGGACAUUCAGGCUCCUUGCCGUCGGAUGUGGCAAGAUGGGAUGAGCGAGUAGGUGGGGAAAACGCUCACCAAGUCGACGAUCCGCAGAGGGUCGCAUAGGAUGACCAGCCACACGGGAACGUGGACACGGUCCAUACUCCUACGGGAGGCAGCAGUGGGGAAUAUUGGACAAUGGGCGCAAGCCUGAUGCAGCCAUGCCGCGUGUAUUAAGAAGGCCUUCGGGUUGUAAAGUACUUUUAGCGGGGAUGAAGGGAGUUAAGCUAAUACGUAGGCACAUUGACGUUACCCGCAGAAGAAGCACCGGCUAACUCCGUG